UACUGAAUGUGACGAUUAGAAUUCUGCACGAGUCUUCUCCUUCUCACGAGAACAAACGGCGCCGGUGUUCAAGCUCUCCUCUGAUCGGAGCUUUUCCGCCUCGAUUCAUACUCUCGAUUCCAUCUCUUUCUCCGCCGUUCAUCUCUCCUCUGUUCUCUCGUCGUCCGAUUUCCCUCGCUCCGUUUGCUCAAGUUCUCUUUUCAAUUGAUUUUAAUACGCACGCAAGAAAUCGAAGACGGAGGUUAUGGCGUACCAACCAGAGCAAUUCCGGUGAUUCUUCGAACUGACAAACGGCGAGAAGUCCGACGAGCAGUCUCCAAAAGCUCGGGUAUGCUUUGAUGCUCGUUCUCACCUUUAAUUCAUUAUCCGGCGAAUCUUCUCCUUCUUCUUUCUUGCUUUUCGAUGAAGAUUCAGAGAGAAAAGAACUUCUGUUAGAGUCUGUUACAGGUUUCCGUUACGAAUCUUUCUUCUGAUUUUUCUUUCUGUUACGUUUUCCUCGUGAUCUCUGUUGUGAAGCUUCUUUUGUUGUUGGUGAAGAAUCGAUGCAGAGGGAGAAUAUGAUUGAAGAUUGUGUGAAGAAAGGAUGAAGGUGGGAGAGGAAGGUUAUGGUGAUGGAGUGGAGAAGAUUGAAGGCGGGAGAAGAAUGAAGAGAGAAUGGUGGUGAAGAAAAUGGUGAAGAAGGUUUGAAUUGGAGGGAUGCUGUUAUAUAGAGGAGAGAGAAUUGAAUUCAGUUAGAGGGGAGAGUAUUGUGAGCCCUAGGAUUAGAGGGAGUUUGUUAUAAGAUGAAUGGUGAGGAUUGAAUCGGUUGAAAGGUUUUCGAAUGUUCCUACAGUGUGACUUGUAUGAUAAACUGAUGCUGCUUGUGACCUGCUCCAUGUCCUGAUGAUGAGCGGUAUCAGACCCUACUUAUUUUGUUUACGCGGGCUAUACGGGUGUUGUAUGCUGUAUCGAGGUUGAAAGUUCUCGGGGUGAUAUGUUAGAAACUCAGUAUGUGGAGUAGUUCUCUCACCCAAUUCAAGAAACAUAGGAGACAAUGGCUGAUCCUUGAAGUGGCUGGAUUGCUUACUGAAUAUGAUGAUAUGGAGUCAUUGAGUGCCAAAUUUUCCCUGAAACUGCUACAUGUGGAAAGCUGUUACAUAGAACCUUUGUUGGCUGUUUGGCUUGAUAGUAGCAUAUGGUGCAAAUGGAAUUCCCACACUCUUAGUACACAUGAUUUCGACACACACGGUUCAAAGCAAGACGGGAGAGCAUGGUGAUAUUGAAGACUUGGUGGAGCUACGUCAAGAGUAGUGUUAGGAUUAGUGGUCAGACUUUGGUCAACUUUUUGACCAGGAGGUACAAAGUCAACUCUAGUCAAAAUGUGAUUUUUUUUCAAUGUAAUCUCCAUUUAUUUUGUAAAGCACUUGUAGAUAAACUUUUGCCUUGGCUUGUAGAUCCAUAAAGUUGAACGAGAUGAUUUCCCUCCUUUUCCUUUGAUUUUGGAUUUCAGUUCAAUAACAUGUAACUUUUCUUA
Vicia villosa (hairy vetch) is the source of this 1513-nucleotide long non-coding RNA. RefSeq lists it as uncharacterized. Lineage: Eukaryota; Viridiplantae; Streptophyta; Magnoliopsida; Fabales; Fabaceae. The record is from RefSeq and is a predicted model, not a curated record. The transcript has 4 exons.